RNAcentral lists this ribosomal RNA (484 nucleotides) under uncultured bacterium. RNAcentral describes it as "partial 16S ribosomal RNA". It matches the Rfam family "Bacterial small subunit ribosomal RNA", at positions 30 to 507 of the family's 1533-position model. The record is from RNAcentral.
AUUGAACGCUGGCGGCAGGCCUAACACAUGCAAGUCGAGCGGAUGAAGGGAGCUUGCUCCUGGAUUCAGCGGCGGACGGGUGAGUAAUGCCUAGGAAUCUGCCUGGUAGUGGGGGAUAACGUCUGGAAACGGGCGCUAAUACCGCAUACGUCCUGAGGGAGAAAGUGGGGGAUCUUCGGACCUCACGCUAUCAGAUGAGCCUAGGUCGGAUUAGCUAGUUGGUGGGGUAAAGGCCUACCAAGGCGACGAUCCGUAACUGGUCUGAGAGGAUGAUCAGUCACACUGGAACUGAGACACGGUCCAGACUCCUAAGGGAGGCAGCAGUGGGGAAUAUUGGACAAUGGGCGAAAGCCUGAUCCAGCCAUGCCGCGUGUGUGAAGAAGGUCUUCGGAUUGUAAAGCACUUUAAGUUGGGAGGAAGGGCAGUAAGUUAAUACCUUGCUGUUUUGACGUUACCAACAGAAGAAGCACCGGCUAACUUCGUG